Molecule: long non-coding RNA, 605 nt
Organism: Myxocyprinus asiaticus (Chinese sucker)
Lineage: Eukaryota; Metazoa; Chordata; Actinopteri; Cypriniformes; Catostomidae
Exons: 3
Source: RefSeq, a predicted model, not a curated record
GUCUCAGGAGGGUCUUCUGGAACACUGCAGACAAGCUGGAAUCACAUUCAUAGUUCUGGUGUCUGAUAAAAAUGGAUAUUACCUGAAGGUGAAAUCUUUUGAGAAAACAGUCGGUGAAGGGAAUUCCUGAGCCAGAUCUGGUCAAUCACUUAUCCAAAAGAGGACCAAACACUCUGAAUGGCACUUUGACCUUUCACACUGGAGAUAUCGGAGAGCGUUUCUCUACAGAAUCCAAACGCAUCAUUACUGGGAAAACUCUGGGAACUCAGUUUGGAAAAUAAGUGAUAUUAACUUAUAAAAUCAUCAAAGCCUCUGAAUAUUGAGCCACAAAGUGAUUCAACUGAGUGUAAUAUUUCACACCACUUUUGGCUUGAGUGCUGGUCAAAUUAGUCAUGGCAGAUAUUAAAUUAAAACCUUCUUGAGCGAAAAAUAAAUCUUACUAAAAAGUCUUGGUGAGCUCAGUUGUUUGAUGAAGCAUCAGAUGUUCAUUUUUUCGUGUUUGGCAGGUUUGUCUGAGUCACAAGAGAGCAACGCCACAAUGUCCAUGAACGUAAAUCUCAUGACACCUGAGAGAAUCUCUGCGAGUUCCCGCCGGAGUUACAAAA